This is a long non-coding RNA of Canis lupus familiaris (dog), 1263 nucleotides long. RefSeq lists it as uncharacterized. The record is from RefSeq and is a predicted model, not a curated record. Lineage: Eukaryota; Metazoa; Chordata; Mammalia; Carnivora; Canidae. The transcript has 4 exons.
GGAUAAGUAAAUACGAUCGUAAAAAUAGUCAGGAUGUGCUCCAGGUCGAGCGAUUGCCAUCUUGGAAGACGUUCCCCGCCUCUCAUCGGAACUGAAACAGUUGGUGUAAAUUUAUUCGCUGUUGGCCCAUCAUUGCUUUUCUGAUCAUUUUGAAAUGCAGUGACUAAUAAAAGUCCAGUGCUGGAUGCCUGACACUUAGGCUGCUGUACUUUCACCCAGGUGCUGUGUUGAAACAAAGUGGGGCAAAGCUGAUGUCUGUAUACUGAACCAGCAGGCUGCGAUGGAGAGCUGUGAAGUGAUUUUCAACUACUUGUUCAGUGAUACAACAGGAGUCGUGGUGGCAAACGAAGUCAGGGAGCACAGGCGAAGCAGGCCGCUAGUGCUGUGCACCAGGCAUAUGGUACACGCUCAAGUCACAUCUCCAGGAUGCUGAGAAGACGUUUACGUCACUAGCAACAACACAAAUACAACAGACAAACGAAAUGUCAAUUUUCCACUGACCACCUAUCAGGUCAGUAGAUGGCUUGGUGCCAGCCGGGUGCGAGAGGCAGACACCUCCUGUGCUUGUGGGCAGGAUCCGAGCUGCUACAGUGUUUUUGGAGGAUGACUUUGGGAACGUGUGAAAAUAAAUAGUAUCAACCUUAAGCAAAUAACUCCAUCUUGAAACACUGACUUAAGGGGAUAAUAAUGAAUAUUUGUGAACACAUAUGUAAUACCUUCAAGCUAAUUAAAUAGCUAGUAGCAGAGAAAAAAAUAAAUGAAUUAUGAUAAAUUUAUCAGCGGGAUACUAUACAGUCACUAAUGUGUUUACAGAUGCAGAGUAUUUUUAAGGAAGUGGUAAUGACCAUGUCUUUAUUACACGUAUGCUAUUGAGGAAGACGCGUAUUUCACAGUAGAAUGCCUUUUCUAAGUACAGGAGCAGGUUCCUAGAGGCGGCCCUGAUAAUAAUUGAAAGGACACAUGCAAUAUUCAACAGAAAUAAAAUGCCAAUCAAAACUCCUUUUACUGGAGUUGAAUAAGUAAUACCCGUCUGGGCAAAGAGUGUAGAUAUAUAUUACUAUUUGGGUAAUGAUCUGAUUGUUAAAACUCUCUUCUAACUUUUCUCUACCAAUGUCAACUUAAAAAGUAGAUGUAGACACCGGAAAACUAUAUGGUCGCGAAAUGCAUUAUUACUGCUUUAGAGCUGUUGACGUUUCACUUUGUCUUCUCAGUAAAUUUUAAAAUAAAAAUGGCAUCAGAUAUAUUUUACAAGUUAAACUUGAA